RNAcentral lists this ribosomal RNA (1343 nucleotides) under uncultured bacterium. Its description in RNAcentral is "16S ribosomal RNA". It matches the Rfam family "Bacterial small subunit ribosomal RNA", at positions 28 to 1378 of the family's 1533-position model. The record is from RNAcentral.
GACGAACGCUGGCGGCGUGCUUAACACAUGCAAGUCGAACGGAAAGGCCCUGCUUUUGUGGGGUGCUCGAGUGGCGAACGGGUGAAUAACACGUGAGUAACCUGCCCUUGACUUUGGGAUAACUUCAGGAAACUGGGGCUAAUACCGGAUAGGAGCUCCUGCUGCAUGGUGGGGGUUGGAAAGUUUCGGCGGUUGGGGAUGGACUCGCGGCUUAUCAGCUUGUUGGUGGGGUAGUGGCUUACCAAGGCUUUGACGGGUAGCCGGCCUGAGAGGGUGACCGGCCACAUUGGGACUGAGAUACGGCCCAGACUCCUACGGGAGGCAGCAGUGGGGAAUAUUGCACAAUGGGCGGAAGCCUGAUGCAGCAACGCCGCGUGCGGGGUGACGGCCUUCGGGUUGUAAACCGCUUUCGCCUGUGACGAAGCGUGAGUGACGGUAAUGGGUAAAGAAGCACCGGCUAACUACGUGCCAGCAGCCGCGGUGAUACGUAGGGUGCGAGCGUUGUCCGGAUUUAUUGGGCGUAAAGGGCUCGUAGGUGGUUGAUCGCGUCGGAAGUGUAAUCUUGGGGCUUAACCCUGAGCGUGCUUUCGAUACGGGUUGACUUGAGGAAGGUAGGGGAGAAUGGAAUUCCUGGUGGAGCGGUGGAAUGCGCAGAUAUCAGGAGGAACACCAGUGGCGAAGGCGGUUCUCUGGGCCUUUCCUGACGCUGAGGAGCGAAAGCGUGGGGAGCGAACAGGCUUAGAUACCCUGGUAGUCCACGCUGUAAACGGUGGGUACUAGGUGUGGGGUCCAUUCCACGGGUUCCGUGCCGUAGCUAACGCUUUAAGUACCCCGCCUGGGGAGUACGGCCGCAAGGCUAAAACUCAAAGGAAUUGACGGGGCCCCGCACAAGCGGCGGAGCAUGCGGAUUAAUUCGAUGCAACGCGUAGAACCUUACCUGGGUUUGACAUGGAUCGGGAGUGCUCAGAGAUGGGUGUGCCUCUUUUGGGGUCGGUUCACAGGUGGUGCAUGGCUGUCGUCAGCUCGUGUCGUGAGAUGUUGGGUUAAGUCCCGCAACGAGCGCAACCCUUGUUCACUGUUGCCAGCACGUUAUGGUGGGGACUCAGUGGAGACCGCCGGGGUCAACUCGGAGGAAGGUGGGGAUGACGUCAAGUCAUCAUGCCCCUUAUGUCCAGGGCUUCACGCAUGCUACAAUGGCUGGUACAGAGAGUGGCGAGCCUGUGAGGGUGAGCGAAUCUCGGAAAGCCGGUCUCAGUUCGGAUUGGGGUCUGCAACUCGACCUCAUGAAGUCGGAGUCGCUAGUAAUCGCAGAUCAGCAACGCUGCGGUGAAUACGUUCCCGGG